GCCGGGGUGGCGAAAUUGGCGAGACGCGACGGACUUAAAAUCCGUUGGGAGGCAACUCCCAUGUGGGUUCGAUUCCCACCCCCGGCA
This 87-nucleotide transfer RNA is filed under the name Gemmatimonadota bacterium. Its description in RNAcentral is "Gemmatimonadetes bacterium (bioreactor metagenome) tRNA-Leu". It matches the Rfam family "tRNA". Rfam says of the family: Transfer RNA (tRNA) molecules are approximately 80 nucleotides in length. RNAcentral also lists the same sequence under 1 other name. The record is from RNAcentral. Lineage: Bacteria; Pseudomonadati; Gemmatimonadota.